Molecule: ribosomal RNA, 1161 nt
Filed under: Escherichia coli
Lineage: Bacteria; Pseudomonadati; Pseudomonadota; Gammaproteobacteria; Enterobacterales; Enterobacteriaceae
Description: partial 23S ribosomal RNA
Rfam family: Bacterial large subunit ribosomal RNA
Source: RNAcentral
GGGUUGUGAGGUUAAGCGACUAAGCGUACACGGUGGAUGCCCUGGCAGUCAGAGGCGAUGAAGGACGUGCUAAUCUGCGAUAAGCGUCGGUAAGGUGAUAUGAACCGUUAUAACCGGCGAUUUCCGAAUGGGGAAACCCAGUGUGUUUCGACACACUAUCAUUAACUGAAUCCAUAGGUUAAUGAGGCGAACCGGGGGAACUGAAACAUCUAAGUACCCCGAGGAAAAGAAAUCAACCGAGAUUCCCCCAGUAGCGGCGAGCGAACGGGGAGCAGCCCAGAGCCUGAAUCAGUGUGUGUGUUAGUGGAAGCGUCUGGAAAGGCGUGCGAUACAGGGUGACAGCCCCGUACACAAAAAUGCACAUAUUGUGAGCUCGAUGAGUAGGGCGGGACACGUGGUAUCCUGUCUGAAUAUGGGGGGACCAUCCUCCAAGGCUAAAUACUCCUGACUGACCGAUAGUGAACCAGUACCGUGAGGGAAAGGCGAAAAGAACCCCGGCGAGGGGAGUGAAAAAGAACCUGAAACCGUGUACGUACAAGCAGUGGGAGCACGCUUAGGCGUGUGACUGCGUACCUUUUGUAUAAUGGGUCAGCGACUUAUAUUCUGUAGCAAGGUUAACCGAAUAGGGGAGCCGAAGGGAAACCGAGUCUUAACUGGGCGUUAAGUUGCAGGGUAUAGACCCGAAACCCGGUGAUCUAGCCAUGGGCAGGUUGAAGGUUGGGUAACACUAACUGGAGGACCGAACCGACUAAUGUUGAAAAAUUAGCGGAUGACUUGUGGCUGGGGGUGAAAGGCCAAUCAAACCGGGAGAUAGCUGGUUCUCCCCGAAAGCUAUUUAGGUAGCGCCUCGUGAAUUCAUCUCCGGGGGUAGAGCACUGUUUCGGCAAGGGGGUCAUCCCGACUUACCAACCCGAUGCAAACUGCGAAUACCGGAGAAUGUUAUCACGGGAGACACACGGCGGGUGCUAACGUCCGUCGUGAAGAGGGAAACAACCCAGACCGCCAGCUAAGGUCCCAAAGUCAUGGUUAAGUGGGAAACGAUGUGGGAAGGCCCAGACAGCCAGGAUGUUGGCUUAGAAGCAGCCAUCAUUUAAAGAAAGCGUAAUAGCUCACUGGUCGAGUCGGCCUGCGCGGAAGAUGUAACGGGGCUAAACCAUGCAC